This 72-nucleotide transfer RNA is filed under the name Loxodonta africana (African savanna elephant). It matches the Rfam family "tRNA". Rfam says of the family: Transfer RNA (tRNA) molecules are approximately 80 nucleotides in length. The record is from Rfam by way of RNAcentral. Lineage: Eukaryota; Metazoa; Chordata; Mammalia; Proboscidea; Elephantidae.
GCCUUGGUGGCACAAUGGUUAAGUGUUUGGCUGCUAACCAAGAGGUUGACGGUUCGAACCCUCCCAGCGGCU